GAUGAACGCUGGCGGCGUGCCUAAUACAUGCAAGUCGAGCGAACGGACGAGAAGCUUGCUUCUCUGAUGUUAGCGGCGGACGGGUGAGUAACACGUGGAUACCCUACCUAUAAGACUGGGAUAACUUCGGGAAACCGGAGCUAAUACCGUAUAAUAUUUUGAACCGCAUGGUUCAAUAGUGAAAUACGGUCUUGCUGUCACUUAUCGCUGGAUCCGCGCUGCAUUAGCUAGUUGGUAAGGUCACGGCUUACCAAGGCAACGAUGCCUAGACGACGUCAGGGGGUGGUCGGCCACAUUGGAACGGAGCCACGGUCAAGACUCCUGCGGGAGGGAGCAGUAGGGAAUCUUCCGCAAUGGGCGGAAGCCUGACGGAGCAACGCGGCGUGAGUGAUGACGGUCUUCGGAUCGUAAAACUGUGUUAUUAGGGAAGAACAUAUGUGUAAGUAACUGUGCACAUCUUGACGGUACCUAAUCAGAAAGCCACGGCUAACUACGUG
RNAcentral lists this ribosomal RNA (497 nucleotides) under uncultured bacterium. RNAcentral describes it as "partial 16S ribosomal RNA". It matches the Rfam family "Bacterial small subunit ribosomal RNA", at positions 28 to 507 of the family's 1533-position model. The record is from RNAcentral.